Molecule: non-coding RNA, 80 nt
Filed under: uncultured Symbiodinium
Lineage: Eukaryota; Dinophyceae; Suessiales; Symbiodiniaceae
Source: RNAcentral
AGGCCUGACUUCAACGGGAUGUGGUCUUGCUUCGAAAUUGUUGGCGACAUGGACGCUCUACUUGUGUCAUUGGAAGUGGG